GCUUGCACACUCACACGCGCACACACACACACACACACACACACACACACACACACACACACACACACACACACACACUCUCACUCUCUGUUUGUCCCUCUUUCAAUUUGUUUUGCCUAUUUCUAUUUGCAUUCUUCAUUCUUUCAAUAUGGCAUCUUCAGGUUUUGACCAGUUAUGUCAGGAAGCUGCAACUAUUUCAAAGCAUCUUGAAAUGAAAGCUGACAAUGCUGAACUUGAAGCAGCUACCAGGGAGGCUGAAGAAAUUCUACAAAUGUUUAAUCCUCCACUGCUGAAAAAGAAGACCAAACGAGUGAUUUCCUGGACUCAACAGACACAGUGAACUUUGCACUGCAUUUCAAAGCCAGCUUCUCAGCCGCAACACUGAGAACCAGAGUUGAAGUCAAUGUACUGCUGAGAAAGUGCAAGAUCUAUUUAACCAAAAAUAUAAGGAUGCCAGAGGUACCGGAAGGCUCCCCUACCAAUCCCUGGUAAAUCAUGGCAUGACAGUUAAAGUUGCAGGACUGCCCAACAGCCUCAAAAAGCCAUCCUAUUAUGGAAGGAACCAGUUGGAGGCCAUUUUGCAAGCUGCUGAGGAGAUUUCAUUUGAAAUCAUUGCAGUUUCCUCAUUAAAGUGGACACAUUUUCUAAAAAGGCACCUCUCCAGAAUAUCCUAUAGCUGUUUAGUUGAAUUUGACUAGUGAUUGUGAUAGACCUUGGCAACAGUUGAAUUUUAUCUAUAAAAUAAUAUUUCUUCAUUAAUACUGCUGUGUGAUGCAGAAAGACCAGUUAUUUGUUAUGCUUCUAAG
This is a non-coding RNA of Misgurnus anguillicaudatus (oriental weatherfish), 806 nucleotides long. Lineage: Eukaryota; Metazoa; Chordata; Actinopteri; Cypriniformes; Cobitidae. The record is from RefSeq and is a predicted model, not a curated record.